RNAcentral lists this ribosomal RNA (460 nucleotides) under uncultured bacterium. RNAcentral's name for it is "partial 16S ribosomal RNA". It matches the Rfam family "Bacterial small subunit ribosomal RNA", at positions 338 to 795 of the family's 1533-position model. The record is from RNAcentral.
CCUACGGGUGGCAGCAGUGAGGAAUAUUGGUCAAUGGGCGCGAGCCUGAACCAGCCAAGUCGCGUGAAGGAUGAAGGAUCUAUGGUUUGUAAACUUCUUUUAUAUGGGAAUAAAGUGCGGAACGUGUUCCUUUUUGUAUGUACCUUAUGAAUAAGCAUCGGCUAACUCCGUGCCAGCAGCCGCGGUAAUACGGAGGAUGCGAGCAUUAUCCGGAUUUAUUGGGUUUAAAGGGUGCGUAGGUGGUUAAUUAAGUCAGCGGUGAAAGGUUGUGGCCCAACCAUAAAAUUGCCGUUGAAACUGGUUGACUUGAGUAUAUGAGAGGUAGGCGGAAUGCGUGGUGUAGCGGUGAAAUGCAGAGAUAUCACGCAGAACUCCGGUUGCGAAGGCAGCUUACUAAACUAUAACUGACACUGAAGCACGAAAGCGUGGGGAGCAAACAGGAUUAGAUAUCCCAGUAGUC